UCCAACGGAACAAGGUGCCCCAUUGGACA
Molecule: non-coding RNA, 29 nt
Filed under: Homo sapiens (human)
Lineage: Eukaryota; Metazoa; Chordata; Mammalia; Primates; Hominidae
Source: RNAcentral